Molecule: ribosomal RNA, 226 nt
Filed under: uncultured bacterium
Lineage: Bacteria
Description: partial 16S ribosomal RNA
Rfam family: Bacterial small subunit ribosomal RNA
Source: RNAcentral
GCGUUAUCCGGAAUUAUUGGGCGUAAAGAGCUCGUAGGCGGUUUGUCGCGUCUGUCGUGAAAGUCCGGGGCUUAACCCCGGAUCUGCGGUGGGUACGGGCAGACUAGAGUGCAGUAGGGGAGACUGGAAUUCCUGGUGUAGCGGUGGAAUGCGCAGAUAUCAGGAGGAACACCGAUGGCGAAGGCAGGUCUCUGGGCUGUAACUGACGCUGAGGAGCGAAAGCAUG